Neopelma chrysocephalum (saffron-crested tyrant-manakin) is the source of this 271-nucleotide long non-coding RNA. RefSeq lists it as uncharacterized. The transcript is spliced from 3 exons. The record is from RefSeq and is a predicted model, not a curated record. Lineage: Eukaryota; Metazoa; Chordata; Aves; Passeriformes; Pipridae.
UAGCCCCAAUUAAUUAACCCCGCCCUCAUUAACGUCCCGCUGCAGACAAAGACCUGCGGACCAAGGGCUUCAGCACCGAGUCGUGCCGGAGCAUGGUCAACCUCAUGGACAAAGAUGGGAACGGGAAACUGGGGCUGGUGGAGUUCAACGUGCUCUGGAACCGCAUCCGCAACUACCUGAGCAUCUUCCGCAAGUUCGACCUGGACAAGUCGGGCUCCAUCAGUGCCUACGAGCUGCGCCUGGCGCUGGAGGCUGCAGGUGACACCCCCGG